Molecule: long non-coding RNA, 740 nt
Organism: Prunus dulcis (almond)
Lineage: Eukaryota; Viridiplantae; Streptophyta; Magnoliopsida; Rosales; Rosaceae
Exons: 4
Source: RefSeq, a predicted model, not a curated record
CUGCCCUUGACUAAACAGCUUCUUUUGUUGCCGUUUUUGCCCCUCCCCCUUCGUUGAGAGGGUUUCGUCCGCUGACAGAACCCUCUAUUUUCAGUUCGUUUCCAACCAGCUGGUUGGGGGGCAGCCAUGGAAGAUCUGUAUUCGUUGCUGGACAUGCGUGGGGGGCCAUCGAUUUUUUUCUUGGGAGGUGAGCUGCAAAUCCAGCCGCACUUUUAGUCUUCGUCUCACAGAUUUGGGGUCGGGAGAUUUCAUCCUUUCUACAUCCUUCGACUCAGACUUCCAUCUUUCUUGCUUGCGAAUAUUUGCAUCCUUUGUCUUCAGGUGGUCUUUUGUUGCUUUGGAUAGAGCGGUUUGGUUGGUGUUUUCAGUUCUGUUAAGCAAGGGGUUCUUGAGUAAUCCCUAUUGCUAUAUAAGAGGAGCUGAGGUAUUUAAAUUUCACAACAUAUUGGAUUCUAUCAGGAAGGGGAUUGAAUCUCACAGAUUAGCUCAGGGUCAAGACCUCCAUCAAAGAGAAGAAAAAUCAUUAAGACAUUGCAAAACAGAACUUGCCCAAUUAAAUAGCAUGCUGUUCAAAACUAUCCAAAUUUUGCUAUUUUGAUGCCUACUUCCUACUAUUAACAUCUCAAUGUAUAUACAAACAAGUGUACUAUUUUAACAUAACAAGUAGCCUGUAAAAUAUGUUAUUACUUGCUUUUUUGCAACUUAUACUCCCUUAGUUAAACAUAAUGUUAUAAAUUAAA